UGGAAUAGCUCAGCAGGUAGAGCAACGCCCUCGUAACGCGUAGGUCGCAGGUUCGAACCCUGUUUCCAG
RNAcentral lists this transfer RNA (69 nucleotides) under bovine gut metagenome. It matches the Rfam family "tRNA". Rfam says of the family: Transfer RNA (tRNA) molecules are approximately 80 nucleotides in length. Their secondary structure includes four short double-helical elements and three loops (D, anti-codon, and T loops). The record is from RNAcentral.